Molecule: ribosomal RNA, 563 nt
Filed under: uncultured bacterium
Lineage: Bacteria
Description: partial 16S ribosomal RNA
Rfam family: Bacterial small subunit ribosomal RNA
Source: RNAcentral
UGGGGAAUAUUGCACAAUGGGCGAAAGCCUGAUGCAGCAACGCCGCGUGAGUGAUGAAGGCCUUCGGGUUGUAAAGCUCUGUCUUUUGGGACGAUAAUGACGGUACCAAAGGAGGAAGCCACGGCUAACUACGUGCCAGCAGCCGCGGUAAUACGUAGGUGGCAAGCGUUGUCCGGAUUUACUGGGCGUAAAGGAUGCGUAGGCGGAUUUUUAAGUGAGAUGUGAAAACCCUAAGCUUAACUUGGGGACUGCAUUUCAUACUGGAAAUCUAGAGUGCGGGAGAGGAGAAUGGAAUUCCUAGUGUAGCGGUGAAAUGCGUAGAGAUUAGGAAGAACACCAGUGGCGAAGGCGAUUCUCUGGACCGUAACUGACGCUGAGGCAUGAAAGCGUGGGUAGCAAACAGGAUUAGAUACCCUGGUAGUCCACGCCGUAAACGAUGAGUACUAGGUGUAGGAGGUAUCGACCCCUUCUGUGCCGCAGUUAACACAAUAAGUACUCCGCCUGGGAAGUACGAUCGCAAGAUUAAAAACUUAAAUGAAUUGACGGGGUUAUAGCUGUUUCCU